GACGAAACGCUGGCGGCGUGGAUUAGGCAUGCAAGUCGAACGGUAUCAUCCUUUCGGGGGUGAGAGAGUGGCGAACUGGUGAGUAACACGUAGGUUAUCUACCCUCAAGACGGGGACAACCCAGGGAAACUUGGGCUAAUACCGGAUGUGAGCAACUUUUUAGUUGUUUGAAAGGUGGCGUAAGCUGUCGCUUGGGGAUGAGCCUGCGUCCUAUUAGUUAGUUGGUGAGGUAACGGCUCACCUAGGCAAUGAUAGGUAGGCGGCCUUAACGGGUGGUCGCCCACACUGGGAUUGAGAUACGGCCCAGACUCCUACGGGAGGCAGCAGUCGAGAAUAGUCUACAAUGGUCGGAAGACUGAUAGUGCGACGCCGCGUGAACGAUGAAUCCCUUCGGGGUGUAAAGUUUCUUUUAUACGUGAGCAGUGCCCUUUUAUAUGAAUAGUAUAGAGGGAGGGAUUUAAGCGUAUGAAUAAGCAACGGCUAACUCCGUG
RNAcentral lists this ribosomal RNA (491 nucleotides) under uncultured bacterium. Its description in RNAcentral is "bacterial SSU rRNA". It matches the Rfam family "Bacterial small subunit ribosomal RNA", at positions 32 to 507 of the family's 1533-position model. The record is from RNAcentral.